UGGGCAUAAUAUCUAUUUACGAACCCACACUGACUACAAAAUAAGGCUAUUGCUUUCUGAACCUCCACAAUUAAUAACUACACCAUCCAAUACUAGGAAAAGACUCCAACACAUCUUUCACACUCGAUGGAAAUAAAUACAUAAAAAAAGAAAUAAUCAAUACACAUAAAAAAAAAAUCAUAUAGCCUCAAACAUAAAAAUAUUUGUAAAUGUGAAAGAUAGAGACUCAUCCUUUAAUUUCAAUAAAAAAAUAAAAAUAAAAACUUAGUUAGGUGGGGUCCGAUUUUUCUAUAUGCUUUAUUGAACUCAACUUAAACUUAAUUAUAUCAUACAAGUUAAAAUAUUUUGUUUAGUUUUAACUAAGUUUAAAGCCUUUUAUAAAUUUGAGUUUUUUUUUAAUUCAGUCUCUGUGAUUUUAGUUAUUUAUUGAAUAUUUAAAAAAUAUUUUUUUCAAUUUAAUUUUUUAAUUCAUUAGGUGACGUGAUGGUUAAUUUUUCUGUCAACUUACCUUGUAUCCAC
This 519-nucleotide long non-coding RNA is filed under the name Vigna radiata. RNAcentral describes it as "long non-coding RNA (VRAD_LNC003261)". Lineage: Eukaryota; Viridiplantae; Streptophyta; Magnoliopsida; Fabales; Fabaceae. The record is from RNAcentral.